CUUUCUUGAUUCGGUGGGUGGUGGUGCAUGGCCGUUCUUAGUUGGUGGAGCGAUUUGUCUGGUUAAUUCCGAUAACGAACGAGACUCUAGCCUGCUAACUAGGCGAUUUCCGGUACCCACAACAGUGUUACCGGCGAUUCAAUUUCUUCUUAGAGGGACAGGCGGCUCUUAGG
Molecule: ribosomal RNA, 173 nt
Filed under: Cercopis vulnerata
Lineage: Eukaryota; Metazoa; Arthropoda; Insecta; Hemiptera; Cercopidae
Description: partial small subunit ribosomal RNA
Rfam family: Eukaryotic small subunit ribosomal RNA
Source: RNAcentral